CAGAGAGGGACGAUAAAUAGCCGAGGAAAACAUGUUUACGUUCUAAUAUGUCUCAAGCAAAGUUCAGCUGUGGUGUUUUGAACUUUUUGGUCUUUUUGGAUAAGAUUUAAAAUCGGACAUCUGCUAUUACAUUUUAGUAACAUAAUGUGCUUUUUGUGAGAUAAAAUGGCGGCCAAUAUUAAAGAUAAAGAAGCUUUUCAGAGGCUGAACUUCCUCUAUCAAGCUGCACAUUGUGUAUUGGCUCAAAAUCCUGAGAAUAUAGAACUGGCCCGAUUUUACUGCUUCACUCAGAAGACCAUCGCCAAACGCCUGGUGCUGAGACAGUGAGUAGUAGGGAGUACUGUUUACAGGCUUCAGGAGACCCCUCAGUGAAAAGGACCCUGUGUAAGAAAUGCUGUGCUUUACUGAUCUCUGGGGUUACAGCAACUGUUCGGCAAAGAAAAAGUUCUCGGAGGCAGCGUGUAACAAUAAUACGAUGUCUCAGUUGUGGGCAAACCAAAAAGUUUCCUAAUAACCCAAAACAUCAGCUGUGGGUGGACCAACCAGAGGCUCAGUUAGAGAAUCAGCUUCAGCCAGAAGCCAGUUCAUCAUCCAAGGCUGAUGAAUCCAGUACUGUGGCUCCUGUGAUCCAAGAUGUUGCCUCUUGAGUUCAAACUGAACUCCUUUAUUUUCAUCGCUGAGCAUCAGCAUUAGAUGUUUUCUGCUGUGACCUUUUAUUUAUUUAUAUUUUUUUAAAGGUUAGGUAAGGAUAAUGGUGAGAACAGUGUCUUUACAAGCCCAUUGUGGUAAUACUUGGUUAACUUUAUUUCAGACAGCAACAAGUGCUUGAGCUGGGUGAUUCAUGUAAUUUGCGAAGUUGAAUCCCAGCUGCAAUGUGUCCUGUAUCAAGUAAUUCUGGGAAAUUACCAGUGUACUAUAGCCUCUGUUAAACAGAAGCUGCAAAACUUUAAUUUAGGUUUUAAGUUAUUGCUUUACAUCUUGUUUUACAGGCACAUCUUAUGAAGCAUAAUGUCAUUGUGUAAAGUUUGACAUAUGUAGAUUGUUCAGUAGAAAAAUAAAU
This is an RNA transcript of Neoarius graeffei (lesser salmon catfish), 1060 nucleotides long. It is a transcript of the gene named ribonuclease P 21 subunit, with no coding region annotated. The record is from RefSeq and is a predicted model, not a curated record. NCBI's taxonomy places the organism in Eukaryota, Metazoa, Chordata, Actinopteri, Siluriformes, Ariidae. The transcript has 5 exons.